UACGUAGGGGGCUAGCGUUGUCCGGAAUCAUUGGGCGUAAAGCGCGUGUAGGCGGUCCGGUAAGUCCGCUGUGAAAGUCGGGGGCUCAACCCUCGAAUGCCGGUGGAUACUGUCGGGCUAGAGUGCGGAAGAGGCGAGUGGAAUUCCUGGUGUAGCGGUGAAAUGCGCAGAUAUCAGGAGGAACACCAAUGGCGAAGGCGAAUCUCUGGACCGGUUCUGACGCUGAGGAGCGAAAGCGUGGGGAGCGAACAGG
This 253-nucleotide ribosomal RNA is filed under the name uncultured bacterium. RNAcentral's name for it is "partial 16S ribosomal RNA". It matches the Rfam family "Bacterial small subunit ribosomal RNA", at positions 524 to 776 of the family's 1533-position model. The record is from RNAcentral.